AGAUUGGUAUCUCAGUGCUAGAGUGCAUUCUUUGUAUGCAUUAUGUCCUGGGUUCAAUCUCCAGCUUCUCCC
This is a non-coding RNA of Dallia pectoralis (Alaska blackfish), 72 nucleotides long. The record is from the annotation of a GenBank genome assembly. Lineage: Eukaryota; Metazoa; Chordata; Actinopteri; Esociformes; Umbridae.